Long non-coding RNA from Perognathus longimembris pacificus (Pacific pocket mouse), 208 nucleotides. RefSeq lists it as uncharacterized. NCBI's taxonomy places the organism in Eukaryota, Metazoa, Chordata, Mammalia, Rodentia, Heteromyidae. The transcript is spliced from 3 exons. The record is from RefSeq and is a predicted model, not a curated record.
AUGAAUCACAAAUGGAUUCCAGAUGAAUAACAACAACAAUAAAAACAUUUACAAAUUAAUGACUUGAGAGUCAAAUAAUUGGUGAUUAGUGUGAUUGAUAAUUAGUGUGAUUUGUUUUCCCUGAUCUCCUGGCUUGAACUCAGAGCUUGAGCAUUGUAACUAACCGAGUUUUUGCUCAAGGUUGGUGUUCUACCACUUGAACCACAGC